CUUUCACUUGUGAUCUGAGGAUGUGCAGGUUCUGCAGGUUCUGCAGUCAAGUACUAGCAUUUCCUUACAAGUAAUACUUGGUAAGAGAGUCAGAGGAGGGUUGUGACUGGGUUAAAAUACAAGUGCCUUAUGUGAGAGCUGACCCUCUGACUCAGCUUCUCCUGUGCCCUAGGACUGAGAGAAUUAACCCAGAUAUUUUCUCUGCUAUUGUGCUGUGGAAAUAAACUGAAUGUGAAAAGCUACAACACCUGCAAGCAACAUCAUUUGUCCUUACAGAGGGAUCCCAGGGCUCCUUAAACCUAAAGAGUUCUGUUGGGUGCAGCCAUCUCUUUUUCAUAGCUUUUAACAUUAAGGCUGAGAAAAUGCCUUCUGUGUCACAGCAUCUGGCCAGAAGCUACAGGGAAAAGCUGUGGCUGUGAGGGAAAGGAAGCUGAGAAAUGCCUGAGGUUGCAGCAACGUUUGUCUUGAAUCACAAGAUACCUUAAUGACCCUUCAGGACACUCAGUACGUAAAGGCUUUAAUGGCAGCCUCAGAUGUGGAGCCUAUCAGCAAAGCUCAGUAAGGUUAUAAUACUGCUCUCAGCUGGAUAGGCUAUGACUUUGCUUACUCCAACUCAAAUAUGAAGCUUGCAGUGGAGCUCCAGCUGCUAUGCAGUGCCAGCAAAGCAGCUGAGGGGCUGCCUGCCCUUUUCAUGCAGUUCACAGCACCAUGGAGCACUCCCUAGCAAUGGUCAUGAUUGUCUCUGCUCAGAGAUGGCCAUCUCCAAAUAAUGAUGGGCAGCAGCCCCACAGAAAUUAUUAAGGUGUUUCUUGGAGCAACAGUUACUGGACUUGCUCAGGAGGCUGUGUCAGGUGGGGUUUGCCAAUAAAACAACUAACCGCUCCAAUGGAAGGGUUUUGUAGAGCUUUAUGUAUCUGAGUGUUCAACAACCACAUGUGAAGCACUACAAACAAAGCUCCUGGAUACAAGAAGUGCUCGACAUGUUGGUAGGGAAAGAAAACCUUUUUCAAUACUUAACAGGAAAAUAUCAUAAUCUUUUUGAAAGCCACAAAAGCAGUGACAAGAUGAGGUUCUGAAAAAAAUUCAUUCCUCUCUAUAGUAUCUGGUAUGUCCUUUGUAUACAAAGAGGUUUUUCCACCUGAAGAACUCCUUCUCUCCAGGCUUCUCUGAAGAACUACUGAAGGCUCAACAUAAGCACAACUGCAGAACACUGGUGCCAGAAGCCAUAUGUCGUCACUUUGAAUUCUUCUAUGUAGUCUACAGUCUCCUCUGGUUUAUUUUUUCUAACCGAUCUUUGUUUUUAGAGCAAUUCAUCAGUUUAUAAAUAGAUGGGUGUGAUACUUUCAAAAAUCCCAAUGAAGAAUGAAUGCUUUGAUGCUUUCUUACUGAAAAAUGCUAAAAAAUAAUUCUUUGUAUGGUGUGACUCUAUAAGACUUGCUUAACACAAGUUAAACAGUUUGGGCAAUUUGAUAUUCCAAAAUAAUAUUUUAUAAUGAAAAAGAUGUUCAAAAAAUGCAGGUCAAACUAAAUUCCCUUACUGUUGCCAUUAUUGUAUUUUUGACAAGUCUUACCUCUUAAUGUGUUUUGGCUGAAAUCGAGUCUUGCUUGUGUCUUAUAUUCACUUUUGUUUGAAAGCAUAAUUUCCUAAAUCUGAAGGCCAUGACCAAUGAUAUUAUUUCUGUAGUAGUAAGAUUUAGGAUGAAGCAUCUAUUUUUUUUUUAAUCUUAUAUUUUGUGCUCUAAAUCCCUUCCUAACUCAAAGUGACAAUGUUAUGGGGAUCAGAAUGAAAAAGAAAAUAGUUUCUAUUUUAGUCACUUGGUCUGGGGAUUCUACAAUUAGUGGCCUACAAGGCUACUGAAGUACAUGUGGCAUUUGAGAAAGGUUCUGCUACGUUCCCUACCAGAAUCUGACUUGAGUAAAUGAGAUGUCCGGAGAAUUCACUCCAGCUCCUGGCUGCACAGAGAAGAUAUAUGCCUGUAUGAAAAGUGGAAGGGAUUUCAUCAGACCUCUUUUGUUUGGGCAUUUCAUUUAAAAUUUAGAUAGAUAUUGAGUUUCCACCUGAAGGCUGGUCACACCUCAGCCAAUUAUUUUGAUCUGCAGCUAUGCAGCCAGCCCCUGAAAAUCCAAACAGUAAUCUUACAGAAUCACAGAGUCAUAGAGUGGUUUGGAUUGGAAAAGAUGUUAAAGUUCAUCCAGUUCUAACCCCCCUGCCUUCGGCAGACACAUAGUCCGCUAGACCAAGUUGCUCAGAACCCCAUCCACACUGGCCUGGAGCAUUCUCAGGGAUGAGAGAGACAUCCACAGCUUCUCUGGUCAACCUGUUCCAGUGGCUCACCCUUCUUACAGUAAAGAAUUUCCUUCUACCACCUAAUCUAAACCUGCUCUAGGUUUGAAGCCACUAGCCCAUGUCCUGGCACUACAUGCCCUUGUAAAAAGUGCCUCUCCAGCUCUCUCGUAGGCUCUCUUCAUGUACAGGAAGUCAACUAUAACUUUUCCAAAUUAUGAACCAAUAGUUAUGGAGUAAUUUUAAAAUAUAUACUUUUCAUGGCUAAAUCAAAGAUUACAUCAAAAUUCUUCUGGCAGGGGUUUGUUAUAAUUUCCUAUCACCUUUUCCCACUGUGCCAGGCUAUCCUGCAAUAACUGAGCUGCUUUGCUUUUCUCAGAGCAAGAUGUUGAAUGGUUGAGGCAUGUUCUGCCUGUAGUGGAUGGGUAAACAGUGGCUUUAGCCUGAAAAAAAGGACAAUGAAGUGAAACAAAAGUUUAUCAAUUGCAGAGCCAGUGAAGCCCAAGAAUAGGUGAAGGAUUUUCAGGCUUCUCUGUGAUAAAAGUUUUAAUAGGAGACUGGACAAAUAUUUCAUGGGAAGAAGAUGUUCUGGUGAUGGAUUUGGACCUCACAAAACACCUGAACUUUCCUGUUCAACAAUUUUAAAUCCACCAUGGGACCUUGUGUUAUCUGUAACGAUUCAGGGAGUACCUAUUCCAAAUUUUCAGGAAAAUUCAGACCUAUGGUCAGACACUUGGGGAAGUCACUGUGGUCACUCAAGUAUUUUAUAACAGAGGAAUGCUACUAAAAUCUCACUCCCUGGAGGCAAAUACUCAAGAUAGCACAUGGAGAAGGCAGCUUUAGUUUAUCCUAGCUGCUGCUUCACAUGAUUACUUCCAGAAUGUGAGUAUCCAUGUCACCAUUUAGUGGCUGUUUGUCAACGAAGGAGAAGUUUUGCUAACAUACACAAGAGGCUUUUACUUGCCCUUCCAACAGCCUAAAAUGAAAGGACAGACCACCCUGCACAAUGAGGUCAGUUUUAUAGAGGCUUUGAGAAAAGAGUGAGACAGAAAAAUAUCUGACUUUGAAAUAGUUUCAACAUAAAUUUGGGACUAGAGAGAGCUCAAGAAAUAAAAGACACAGAAAAGGGCAUUUAGGAAAGGAAAGCCUUGUUUCAAGGGUCUAUGUCAAACCAAGUUUGCUUGUUCAGAAGGUAAGAUGUGAUGCAGACACGUUCAGUAACCUUAUUUUCUUUUUGAUAACCACAUAAUGGGAGAGUUUGGUACACCAGCCCUGCCAGAUUGACUAGAUUUCAGAUAGAAUGAAAUAUUACUUUGGUUGGAGACAAGACUUGAUGGUUUUGAAGGUAUUAGGUGUGGUGCUUAAAAAAAGUUUUUUAUGAGGGGAAAGAAAUAGCAGGCAGUGAUGUUCACUGUGUCAGACUUAUUUGGGAAGUCAAUAGUCUCUCUUUGCUUUCUUAUUGUUUUACUAAAGUGGAAUAAUCUUUAAAAGCCUGCCAUAUCACAGUGUUUCUGGAAUCUAGAGACCCUUUCUAGACCUACACAUCCUCAAUGCACAAAUCCAAGUUGCUCCUGCUCCCAGUUUGUGUAGAUCAAAGUGAAGGUAUCACCCCCACAUAUUGACAAUGUACUGUUUUCUAGGUGUGUAUUGUGUACUUCCUUAGUCCCUUUGGGCCAGCUAUGAGCUGGACAAUUGUGUUGCAGGACAAUGCAUGCACUGAGGAGCAGUAGUCCAGCUCAGUAACACUCAUGCAAGGCUUACAUAAGUUGAACUCAUAUAACUUUGCACAUGUUUAGGAGACCUAAAUUGGACCUAAACUCUCCCGCAGUUUCAAAGUGAUGGAACAAAAUCAUAUAAAUGUGUUUUCCUAUGAAAUGGAAAGCAAGGAAAUGACUACACUUUCAUUUUUCCUGCAUAUUUCUAAUGUAAGAAGACAUCAGAACUUACACAUGGAGAAGUGGCAUGAAAACAUGUUGUAAUUUCAUCUCACAUGGGAAAGGACUGAUGGUGUUAUUCCUCAGGUAGUCUCAAAUACUGUACUUCAUUUCCACCCUUACCUGUGGAAAGCAGAAAAUAAAUACUAUAGAGUAAACCAGAAAGUAUGACUUGUCAUUUUCCAGAAUGAUGUUUUAUAUCUGAUUGUAUAAGUUAUUACUUUACCUUGUGAAAGGAGAAAAAAAGGGGGGGAUUAAAUCGAAGUAGGAAACAGAAAAGAGUCGUGGGAAACAGAUGAAUGAUGACAUCCAAAGAAUGGCAUGAAAAACUGAAGAAAUGCUACACAAAGCCAGGAAAUUGUCAUUUUGCAGCAAUGGCAUCUCUCUGUGAUUGUCUUCAGCACUGUUUCACCACAUCCAUCACUGAAGGACGCACAGAUGUCACCAUGAGAAAUUCACAACUUGAAUAAAGUUCCACAGCAAGCAAUGGAAAGACUUUGAUUAAUUCCAGAGGGCUUUGGAUGUGGCUCUUUCCAUAUCCUGGCUCGUUUUGGCUCAGGACCUGAAAUCACUGUUUUUCUUUUUAAUAACAAUACUUUCCAUUUCUAUGGUGACUUACAUUCACAAAGCUCAGUGAAAGCUUGUAAUAUUUCCUUUUAUGAGUUCUAUUAAUAUCAAGGAAAAUAAAAACUUUUUUUUUUUUUUUUGUCAUGAAACGCAGGUCUUCUGACCUCCUCACAGUUCAGAGGUAGCUCAAAAUUGUAAUUAAUUUUCAUAAGAAACUGUAA
Taeniopygia guttata (zebra finch) is the source of this 5006-nucleotide non-coding RNA. The record is from RefSeq and is a predicted model, not a curated record. Lineage: Eukaryota; Metazoa; Chordata; Aves; Passeriformes; Estrildidae.